This is a long non-coding RNA of Perca flavescens (yellow perch), 1361 nucleotides long. RefSeq lists it as uncharacterized. Lineage: Eukaryota; Metazoa; Chordata; Actinopteri; Perciformes; Percidae. The transcript is spliced from 3 exons. The record is from RefSeq and is a predicted model, not a curated record.
GAAAAACUAAUUUGUCAAAGUUUUCUGGAGCUGUCACUCCCAGAAUGAAAGUGUGUGUGUGUGUGUGUGUGUGUGUGUGUGUGUGUGUGUGUGUGUGUGUGUGUGUGUGUGUGUGUGUGUGUGUGUGUGUGGGUGUGGGUGUGUGUGUGUGUGGAAGUGAGAGAUGAGAUACAUAGAGGUGAGGUGCAUACAUGUUUUUAGUUACAUCCUGAGUGAACCUUUGAACCUGCACAUAUUAGCAAAAGGGGUCUCAGACCUUCUGUGUAAAUGCAACUCAGAUGUAAUUAUAGUCUUAUAAAAAUAAUACCAUGCUGGUGGUGGAGAUAUUACUUAGAGAAACAGUAUGCAAGUGAGGAAUUAGGUUUUAUACCAUAGCGAAAAAGAGCAGUGUAAUAAAGCACUCGCACACUGUGUGUGUGUGUGUGUGUGUGUGAGAGAGAGCUGUUGUCGUUUUUCCCUCUGUCUCUCUCCUCCUCUUGCUCUCUUGCACAUCACUUUGGGAACAUCAAAGGUAUUAGUGUGGUAUUUUCAGGUAGGAAGCCUUUGGGGCUUUAGUGGUGUUUCUGUGGGAGUUUUUCAGAAUUGUUUUUAUCUCUCCUUUGCGGAGCCCUUUUGCAGUCAAACGCUUCCGAAAUGUCCCCAAACGGAGAGCAGCAGUGUGUUAAAAAGGCCUUCUGACAGCAACUCUGCUCUCUUCUCUGUCACGCCGCGUGACCGCUUGGUGUAUGCCUCUGGCACUGUCCGGUCUACUGCGUCCAAUAAUGCACCCUACAUAGACAGAGUGAGACAGAGAGAGAUAGAUACACAUAGACACAUUACACACAUACACAUCCGGACACAAGUUACAAGUUACAUGCACAGGAGCUCUGACAAAACUCAAAGAGACACGAAAUGCAAAGGGAACACACACACAUCAGUUUACACUUCCCAGUAGCCAAACAAGUGUGUCUACAUACACACUUUGAAUUCUACAGCAAAGUGCUUACAAGAGUGUUUGUGUUGUUUUGCUCUCACAAAAUGGGCUCUCCAAAUACACAUUAAUCCAUCUGUCCAGUGUAGACAAGAAAAGGUGGUCCCUAGAUUACCCUGGAAAUGGGUAGAGGCUGGAAAUGUGGAUCCAUGUGGCUGAUAACAAAUGUUUACCUGUUGGACGGUUCAGCAUUGUGCCAAACCAGCCAAGCAGUCAACACUGCUAUGGGAAGCCAAGAAAAACCCAUUUAUUUUAAUGAAAACAGAGACAGAAAGAUGCACACACAGGAUAAGAAAGAGGAGUUUAAAGCAAAGAAUAAUAGAUGUAGAGAUGAAAUAGUGAAGGUGCUAUGAUCAGGAGAAGACCUUUCUGCUUGUGAAUGUUUGUCCUA